This 1083-nucleotide long non-coding RNA is filed under the name Rattus norvegicus (Norway rat). RNAcentral describes it as "long non-coding RNA NONRATT034125". Lineage: Eukaryota; Metazoa; Chordata; Mammalia; Rodentia; Muridae. The record is from RNAcentral.
GGGGGACAAUGGGGGGAGGGUGGGGAGGGGAACACCGAUAAGAAAGGGGAGGGGGGAGGGGGAUGUUUGCCCGGAAACCGGGAAAGGGAAUAACACUCGAAAUGUAUAUAAGAAAUACUCAAGUUAAUAAUAAUAAAAAAGAAAAAAGAAAAAAAAAAAGAAAAAAAAUGCGAAGGAGUUCUCUAACUGUCAUCUGGUUCUAUAGUCAUCCGAAGAGUCUGGAACUUGGGGGAAGCAAUGGCUCUCAGCUCCAUAAGUAACCCCUGUACCUCAGUGUCAGCCGGCUAAACAGGACAACACCCACUUGUACAUGACAGGAAGCAGCAUCCCAGGAACCUGCAGGAACAAGUCCGGUCGGGAUGAAAGAUGAAAAUCCCCAUGCGAGACAGAGGACUUCUUGGAACAUUUUUUUUAAAACUGCAAAGGGUCCCAGAAGUCUGGCAUCAUCUGUGGUAGGAGGAGAAGUCACCGGAGAUCCAGCAGCUGAGCUUUCAAAGCUUGGAACUUACAACUUCGAUGCUAGAUCAGCUUCCAAUUCAUGCUCCAAAGAGAAUUCACUUUCCAGACAUGUGUCUGUGUGCGUCCGUACAUGUGCGUGUGCGUGUGCUCAUUCAUGUGCGUGUGUGCCCGCGUGCAUGCGUGGGCACACACGUGAGAUUCUGUUUCUUUUAACAGUCCCAUGUGAUUAUACCAAGCAUGGACACCACAGCCAUGCUUUCAGAUGCUCUCCGAUAUCUCCACAAUCAAUGUUGCCUGAUAACACAUGUUACGUCUUCAGAUGGUAUCUUCUCAGACAUCUGCGAACCAGCUCUGAAGCACCGAGAGGAAAAUGUGUAAGUGGAAUCCUUUUAACAUUUACAUGUGUGGUCGGAAACACCAGAGCAGACUCGAAGGGGAGGAAGCAAAUUUCAGACAUAUACCAAGACAGUUAAGAAAAUUUAAACGGGCAAUUUGAGAGACAAUGCAAAAUAAAAUUGCACAAAAGGGUAACUUGCUCUCACUUUGCGAGGACUUGCUUUUCAAAAUUAUGUUCAUUUUCUGAAAAGUAUGAAUGCGCCUUUAAUUGGGUUAUGUAAACUUGGC